This 518-nucleotide ribosomal RNA is filed under the name uncultured Gigasporaceae. Its description in RNAcentral is "SSU rRNA". It matches the Rfam family "Eukaryotic small subunit ribosomal RNA", at positions 569 to 1092 of the family's 1831-position model. The record is from RNAcentral. Lineage: Eukaryota; Fungi; Glomeromycota; Glomeromycetes; Diversisporales; Gigasporaceae.
AGCAGCCGCGGUAAUUCCAGCUCCAAUAGCGUAUAUUAAAGUUGUUGCAGUUAAAAAGCUCGUAGUUGAAUUUCGGGGUUCUACCGUUGGUCGGGCAAUAGUCUGUACUGGCGUGUAGAAUUUCUACCUUCUGGGGAACCAUCAUGUUAUUUAUUUAGCGUGGUGGGAAACCAGGACCUUUACCUUGAAAAAAUUAGAGUGUUCAAAGCAGGCUUACGUCUGAAUACAUUAGCAUGGAAUAAUAAAAUAGGACGGUGGUCCUGUUUUGUUGGUUUCUGAAUCACCGUAAUGAUUAAUAGGGAUAGUUGGGGGCAUUAGUAUUCAAUUGUCAGAGGUGAAAUUCUUGGAUUUAUUGAAGACUAACUUCUGCGAAAGCAUUUGCCAAGGAUGUUUUCAUUAAUCAAGAACGAAAGUUAGGGGAUCGAAGACGAUCAGAUACCGUCGUAGUCUUAACCAUAAACUAUGCCGACUAGGGAUCGGACGAUGUUAAUUUUUCUUGACUCGUUCGGCGCCUUACG